CUAUUUUCUACCACAAUCAGUAUUACCUUCUUUUUAUUUCCAGGCCUUAUCAAGGGGACAAAUGCAGAGUCUGCUGUUUACAGGCACCUGGUUUCAGAAGAGUUUCUUCUUCCAAUCCUACUCUUGAGAUGGGUAUAAGUGCACAUGCACAGUGUUACACUCCCAGUGUUUGCUUUGGAGAGUCAGUUCUGAAACGAAGAACAUCUUUGGACCUGCCUUUCUGAUCUCUGUGUGAAUCACUGAACACUCCCCAAUAAAGAGUUGUAGAGGAGGAUCUGCUCACUGCUUUAUCUCCAUGGGACUCCUCAGGCCUGAUGGAUGUGGAACAUCUUUGUGAAGCUUUGAAAAAUCACGAAGGUGCGACAGCACUUGAUGCAGAGCAGGUUGAUUGUGGCUGUCCCUGCCCUCUCUUCUUUCCCUCGACUCCUUAACAGAAACAUCACAACUUACACCAAAAUAUACAUAGUGUGAUACAUAGUGCCCUCUGAGUUGCUUGCUGAAAAAUUGCUACUGAAGUAGUUUUGAGGAUCCAUGUAUCAUGGAACCAUGGUACCAUGCCUUUUUUUUUUUUAUUUAUGUAGUCCUGGUAAUGAACUGCAAUCCUCAGUGUCUCAAUGUCCUCUCUCACCUCUAUUUUCAUAAAUGUUUCCCAGUACCUGUUCUAUCCUGUAACACC
Long non-coding RNA from Zonotrichia albicollis (white-throated sparrow), 676 nucleotides. RefSeq lists it as uncharacterized. The record is from RefSeq and is a predicted model, not a curated record. Lineage: Eukaryota; Metazoa; Chordata; Aves; Passeriformes; Passerellidae.